Long non-coding RNA from Ornithorhynchus anatinus (platypus), 821 nucleotides. RefSeq lists it as uncharacterized. The record is from RefSeq and is a predicted model, not a curated record. The transcript is spliced from 2 exons. Lineage: Eukaryota; Metazoa; Chordata; Mammalia; Monotremata; Ornithorhynchidae.
UCACACUGCCCUGAGAAAGAAAGGAGAAACCAACGGAUACACGGAGUCAUGCUGCUAUCCCAACAGUCUUAAAUCAGGGAAACGGCAGUGCCGAAAAUGACAUGUUCCAGGGUCAUCAACAGGAAUUUUCCUCGUAAGACUUUUUUUUUGAAAAACAACUUUUUAAAAAGUUCUAGCGUACUUUCGAACUUGCAAACACGAGGGUCCGUCCGUCCCCGCCGCUUUGGGGAGGACGUACGUGACGAUCAACAGUGUAUCUUGUGCAUGGGAACUGACAGCUGGCACCCCCCAACCAGCGCUGCGGUUCGAAGCUAAGCUUCAGGGGACCGGGAACGUGACGCCGCUGGAGAAGAACGGAGCAUCUCGCCGAGGCGGGAAGAGUCACGGCCGUAAACGCUCUCUUCCGGGUCAACGGAGCAAGUUGGCAAAGCAAGAGGAGGAGCUGGCCAGGCCCUAAAUGAGCCGGGACGAGCCAGCCCCACCCGGCAAGUCGUUUUACGGUUCUCCACGCACAAAAACGAUCAGAGAGAGAGAAUGAUUUCCACUGCCCUCUCUUCAUAAGGUAAAGGUCCCUACUAACCCAGCCCAGCUCUUUAAAAACCCGUUCCAUUUUAGCGAAACUGCCCUCUUGGACUGCCUCCCAGUGAUGUACUUAGAAAGUGGGCGGAGUGUUCAACACCUAGUGUGCUGGGUGAGGGGGGUGGGGAUUCAUGGUUUUUGUAUACUUUUUACAGGUAGCAACAGUUAAAUAGUUGAUUACCCUGUUGGUUUCAAUAUCUAUGAAAGCUAUCAGACAAAAAUAAACUUUAACUUUACCAGAA